UAGGGAAUCUUCCGCAAUGGACGCAAGUCUGACGGAGCAACGCCGCGUGAGUGAAGAAGGAUUUCGGUUCGUAAAACUCUGUUGUUAGAGAAGAACAGCGCAUAGAGUAACUGUUAUGCGUGUGACGGUAUCUAACCAGAAAGCCACGGCUAACUACGUGCCAGCAGCCGCGGUAAUACGUAGGUGGCAAGCGUUGUCCGGAGUUAUUGGGCGUAAAGCGAGCGCAGGCGGUCAAUUAAGUCUGAUGUGAAAGCCCCCGGCUCAACCGGGGAGGGUCAUUGGAAGCUGGUUGGCUUGAGUGCAGAAGAGGAGAGUGGAAUUCCAUGUGUAGCGGUGAAAUGCGUAGAUAUAUGGAGGAACACCAGUGGCGAAGGCGACUCUCUGGUCUGUAACUGACGAUGAGGUUCGAAAGCGUGGGUAGCAAACAGG
This 429-nucleotide ribosomal RNA is filed under the name Bacteroidota bacterium. Its description in RNAcentral is "Bacteroidetes bacterium partial 16S ribosomal RNA". It matches the Rfam family "Bacterial small subunit ribosomal RNA", at positions 355 to 776 of the family's 1533-position model. Lineage: Bacteria; Pseudomonadati; Bacteroidota. The record is from RNAcentral.